This is a long non-coding RNA of Alligator sinensis (Chinese alligator), 2438 nucleotides long. RefSeq lists it as uncharacterized. The transcript is spliced from 3 exons. The record is from RefSeq and is a predicted model, not a curated record. NCBI's taxonomy places the organism in Eukaryota, Metazoa, Chordata, Crocodylia, Alligatoridae.
CAGCAUGAGCAAUUUUGUUCCAAUGAGAAUGAAGACUGAGUUUUUUUUUUCCUCUAACAUUUUGGACAUCUUUGCUUAAUGGAGGGAAAUAAGUGAUAUUAUGUCUGUGAAGCUAGGAGUUUUUAGUUUUUUAGCCCACACUCAAAUGAAAAAUAGCUAGAAACAUCAUAUCUUAUCUCCAUAGGCACCUUCCUCUUAGGAAAAUGGGGGGAAAAGCCGGCAGCACACUGGAUUACAGAAUUUUAUGGUGGAUACCUAGCUUGAUGACUGUCUUUGUAAGAACCUGGGGACAGGAGUAGGAGAAUAUCCAACGUGUAUCACUUGGGAAAUUACUGCAAGGUGAAACAGGAAGCUGCCUGAUAUGGCUGAUCAAAAAUAACAUCAGGACCUUAACUCUGUCUUGAGCUCUUGGUGGACUGGCAGUUACAGUCAGGAUCAUGCAUCCGUUUAGACUGAAAAAGGUGCAGCCCAGAUGCUCAAGCUGCCUCUGCGGUGGAUAUUAGCAACACUGGGACACGUGCAAUAUUUUGGAUACCAGUUGUCUUGAGUGCUCUAGUCAGAAGUGAACUAAUCUCUGAUAUAUCAUUUAAAUGCAUCCUGUACAGAGUGUUUGAGCGCCAUUGUAGAGAGGUGACCUAAGUUAUUUAAACACUUGCUGGAAAUCCCUAGAGAUUAUUUAAUAGACAUAGUAACAUCACCAUGAUAUGAAUGGAGGCAUGUAGUUACCAUUAAUAAUAAUGAUCAUUGUAUCCUGUAAGCUAAUGGAAACUUCUUGAAUCAUCUCUGAGGAAUGAAUGCCAUGUCUCAUAAUGUUCUAUAUUAUAAAGCUAGCCCCAAUGUUAUUUCAACCUAUUACCAAACUCGAAUGAAUUCCACUAUAAAUAUCUUCUGUACAACAUAUUUCUGGGUAUGACAUGCAAAUUGUGUGCCUCCUCUGGGUAGUCAGGAAGGGGGAGUACUAUGUGCAGUAUAUCUCAGAUGCAAGGCACAACAGAAAUUUUCUUGUGAACAAAAUGCAGAGCAAACAAAAAUACCCGUGAUGUCCUCACAUGCAAACUGUCAUUCUUUCAAAUGAGAGCACUUUCUUGCUUUGGUAAUGAGAAUAAUAAAAAUAGGUGUUAAUGCAGGCUUGAGACAGAGUAUUUCGUCUGAGAAUGGUAUCAAAUAUCUGUCAUUGGAAAUGCUUUGAAAAUAUCUGUGCACUCUGAAUUUCAGAUGCACUUUUUCUUGGGCCAGUGAGCUUCUGCAACAACCCCUAUAGUGCAUGUCGCCAAACUAUGCAGAGCACCAGGUGGAAUUUUUGAACAAUAUAACAUUCACUGUAGGUGUCUAAUUUAAAGUCUGAUGUGGAUGUCAUGCCAAGAUCACAGGCUUCUGGGAGCACUUUUUCCUCUAGAUCCAUAAAGUCAGAGUUCAGGAAGCAGUAAGUACAGUAGACAUUAAAUAAGUGACAGCAAGAGCAAUUAGAGGCGCCCAUGAGAAAAGCAUUGUUAUAAAUGUUGUUUAAAAUAAAGUAACACGGAACCGUAUCUUGCACAUUGUGCAAAGCACAUUUCAUUACCCAGAGAAGCAAGGAACUCUUCCAGCAGCAGCUUCUGCCCAUCUUUCCACAGCUUUCUGAGUCAACAGCCACUUUAGUCUAGUGUAUCUACCUGGGGUACCUGGGGUCUUUCUGUGUGCUCCUCACCAGUCUGAGUCCUGUGGUGAGAUUCUCUGAGUCGGUAAUUGCAGGAGCUAUGCCUAUACCCAUAUAGAGCUCCUGUUAAUGUUAAGGUGUCUCAAAACACCCAUGUGCAUGGUUAAGCCAGGAGACUCUAUCACUCAACAGUUGUUCUUUUGCAAGACUUUUAAGGAAGGCCAUGUAUUACCAGGUCUCAAAAGAUGAAAAGUUACUCUGCACAACUUGCCUUUGAGCCUGUCUUCAUAGAUUAAAUUAAUCAUUUUGUCUUCGGAGGAGGAGCCCUGCCCUACCCUAUUUUUUCAUGCUGCAGUCUUGCAACUCAUUGGGCUAACAAGUGCAGCCUCAGACCCAAAGUCUCCCUUGGGCUAAGGCUGCUUUGCACACAAAACUGUCAUGUCUGCCACUCUGUCUCACACACAUGCACAUGCUCUCUGCAGUAUGUGGGCGAAGAUUUCCUCACUCUUUAGCAUCACCAGCAGGCAGCCUAGUUUAGAGUAGCCUUGUAACCGGCCAGACUGACAUCAAGGCACCAGCCCAGCUCAAGAGCUGUCCUAGGAUCACCCUCUUCUGAGUUGCGCUGUUUUCCUCAGCCUUGGCUAAGAACCUGUGUCAUGGCAUCUGCAAGCAGCAGAGUGCCUACUGUUACGUCUCAGCUCUGUGUUCUUGGGCAACCCUGGCACAGGAUGCAGUCUGUCUGACUCACAAAGAAUUCCCCCUCCCUCCCCUCCUCUACAUAAAUGAAACUGAUUAAGAUGCA